CAUGUUAAGUAAGCCAGGUUCAGC
RNAcentral lists this non-coding RNA (24 nucleotides) under Mus musculus (house mouse). Lineage: Eukaryota; Metazoa; Chordata; Mammalia; Rodentia; Muridae. The record is from RNAcentral. RNAcentral also lists the same sequence under 1 other name.